Long non-coding RNA from Lactuca sativa (garden lettuce), 1220 nucleotides. RefSeq lists it as uncharacterized. NCBI's taxonomy places the organism in Eukaryota, Viridiplantae, Streptophyta, Magnoliopsida, Asterales, Asteraceae. The record is from RefSeq and is a predicted model, not a curated record.
AUUUAAAAAAAAACUUAAAGAUAGCUUUUGGUUUUCCGUAUCAUCCACUAACUCGAUAUAUAAUAAAAAAAUAAUGAAUUUUAUACAGAUUGCAAACAUGUUUUUUUUUUACCUUCUCCGCCGUCUUAUUCUUCACGACUAAGCUGCUUCCAUAGCUUCUCAUAGGUUUCAUGAGUCAUACCUAGGUUUGCAACUGCUUUCAUCUUGCCUUAGGACACCUGUAUCCCACUACUCUUCAUUCCACAGAGUUGGACAUCCUUCUUCUCUUCUGUCUUCCACUUUCUCGUUUUUCUCAGUACGUCUCCCAAAUACCACCAUUUCCUCUUCUUUUUCUCUCGUCUCUUUCUUACCGGUGACUUCACCGUCUCCAUCACAUUAACCCCAAAUGCCAGUGCAAAUCACGGUUUACAUUCUGAUUGCAUCACCUCUCUCUGUUUUGAUUCCACGACCUUUCUAUAUGUUUUUGGUUUGAGUUCAGAUUGAACUUCUCCAAUUUCGUGGUUACCGGUAGCUCCCAUUGAGGCGUUGAAUUCUAUGUGUAGUUCAAAUAGUUGGGGGUUUUCCAUACCUUUCUCGCUUGGCGCGUGUGGUGGAGAGCAAUGUGUUGCCUGCAUAGCUACCAGGUCACCUUAAAACGGAAAAGCAAUUAAACCAUAGUGGAUAACGACAAGUGCAUAGAAGUAUCACCUACGCGUCUCCAUUUUUCCAAUUUUCUUAUGGACGUGAAUUUGACAUUCAUCAACCCACCGGUUGGCUCCAGAAGAACCUAUGUGGUUUAACUUGAUUAUGUGUUCAAUAAAAAGGAAAGGGAAAAGAUGAACUAGAUGUCAUGUCUUAUUUAUAGAGAGAAAAAGAUUACUCCAAGCAAGAAGGGGAGAAUUACAACUAUUAAAGGUUGGAAGUGGAAACUCUUUUUUUCUCACCGAGUAUGUUUCAGAUUACAAUACUCAUUUCAUUGUACAUAUACAUGAGCUUUGCUUGUGUGUGUCAGUGAACCUUAUUUUAUGAUCCUAGAUGACAAUUGAAAGCUGAAGUUUCAAUCUGCAAUUAUUGACAGUAAAUUGGGACAAAGGGGAAGGGAAAUGCCAAACAUUGCAGUCUUUGUUGUGUUGAAAUGUUAAAAACAAGAUUAAUUUGCUUUUUAGUAUAGCUUCUCAAUUAUGGAUAUAUGGUAUUUCAACUUCUAGAAUCAACUUUUAUGCCCUCUAUUUCAUAUGAAA